ACCGGGUCUGAUCUAUUUAUUUUAUUAAUAUUAUUUUGAUAGAACCAAGAUCAGAUGCAUGCGACAUACAAUAGUAUGGCUAGGUGCGCCAACCUGAGCCUGAUGGUAAAAAAUACAUCUAAUGGUAUAUAAAAAACUUGAAUAACGAUAAAAUUUCAAGAUCCAAUAUCUGAAUGUGAGCACCAAAUCGACAAUCUUUCAAAAAUUCAACAACCUCAUCUUGAUUUUGAUCUGAAAAUUUAUCAAUUAACCUCAUCUCAACAAUAUGAUAUCAUUCUCUAAAUCACUCUCAUUUGAAAAUCUCUCUAGAAAAUCACUUUCAUCUGAAAAUCGCUCUCGUCUGAACAUGCAACUAGUUAUAUACCUUAAAAUCUGAAAAUCGCUCUCGUCUGAACAUGCAACUAGUUAUAUACCUUAAAAGGCAACUAGUUAUAUACUUGAACCUGAACCUAGUUAUAUACCUUAACAUGCAAUUAGUUAUAUACCUGAACCUGAACCUGAACCUGUCCCUAGUUAUAUACCUUAACAUGCUACUAGUUAUAUACAUGAACAUGCAAUUAAUUAUAUACCUGAACAUGCAACUAGAUAUAUACAUGAACGUAUAAGCAACUAGGUAUAGACAUGAACAUAUGCAACUAGGUAUAAACAUUAACAUGCAACUAGUAAUAUACCUG
This 674-nucleotide long non-coding RNA is filed under the name Zostera marina. Its description in RNAcentral is "long non-coding RNA (ZMAR_LNC004551)". The record is from RNAcentral. Lineage: Eukaryota; Viridiplantae; Streptophyta; Magnoliopsida; Alismatales; Zosteraceae.